Molecule: ribosomal RNA, 467 nt
Filed under: uncultured bacterium
Lineage: Bacteria
Description: partial 16S ribosomal RNA
Rfam family: Bacterial small subunit ribosomal RNA
Source: RNAcentral
GACGAACGCUGGCGUCGUGCUUAACACAUGCAAGUCGAACGGAAAGGCCUCUUUCGGGGGGUACUCGAGUGGCGAACGGGUGAGUAACACGUGAGUAACCUGCCCUUGACUUUGGGAUAACUUCAGGAAACUGGGGCUAAUACCGGAUAGGAGCUCCUGCUGCAUGGUGGGGGUUGGAAAGUUUCGGCGGUUGGGGAUGGACUCGCGGCUUAUCAGCUUGUUGGUGGGGUAGUGGCUUACCAAGGCUUUGACGGGUAGCCGGCCUGGGAGGGUGACCGGCCACAUUGGGACUGAGAUACGGCCCAGACUCCUACGGGAGGCAGCAGUGGGGAAUAUUGCACAAUGGGUGGAAGCCUGAUGCAGCAACGCCGUGUGCGGGAUGACGGCCUUCGGGUUGUAAACCGCUUUCGCUCAUGACGAAGCUUUGUGUGACGGUAGUGGGUAAAGAAGCACCGGCUAACUACGUG